CAAAUUAUUUAAAUCCCAAACUUUCCCACAUCAAAUACCAAAAAUAUAAUCCACUAAAUCAAAACCUCAAAACUUGGCAAAUAAACUUGAUUGCCGGAAGAGCCUACCUAACAAUAUCGAAUAUGCUAAAUCGUUUGUACCACCAAUCUUUUAAGAAAAGGAUCUAAAUUUUUGGAGGUUCCUUAGAUAACAAUAAAGAAUAUACCAAAGCAUAACUACCAGGUCAAAUUUUUUAUUUUCAUAUCUUCAAAAUAUAAAUAACAACCAAUCAUAACAAGAUUAAUGAUUUUAAUAAACUCAUGCCUUAUAUACUUUAACAGCAUUGAUUUGGAAUAUCUUAAACCCACGGCCUUUUUUCCUAUAUAUACAGCAUAUUAACCUCGGAUCAAUCACGCAGAUUUCAAAACAAUUCUCAUAUAAUGUUUUCUAAAAAAAAACUGGUCUGCAAACCAAAGUCAUACACAUCUGCAAACCAUUCAAAGCCGGAUUUGGUGAGACUUUAGAGAUCAUAUUGGCAGACAAAAAGGUAAUACUGCUAUAAUUUAAAAUUUUCAAGAGUAAUAAUUAGUUUUACUUAAAUCGUGAAUCUUAUAUAUUAAAACAGAAGUCACAACCUUGAUUCAUGUGUGAUUUUUUUUAAAAUGGACCUAAUGAACCUAUUCAUAGAAAUUCAUACUAUAUUUUAAUUCAGACUAAUAAUAAAUAUAAUUUUUAAAAUAUUUUAAUCAUAGUAUCUUUUGAUAUCUUUUCAUUUUAAAUAUAAAUAUAUUUAUUUUAAAAUUCUAACAAAUCUGUUUAAAAAGAUUUUUACAAGAUCUUCAUUUUUGAAAUUAUAUUUAAAUAUUUUCACUAAUUUUGAAAUUAGUUUAAAAUAUUAUUAUACAUUAAUAUAUUCAGUUAUAUAAAAUAAAAAAUAAAAAAUCUAUAAUAUUUUAGUUAUUAUAUAAUCAUAAUCAAUCAUAUGAAAUUAAAACUAUUAUAUUGAGCUAAAUAUAAUAAAAUUGUAUUAAAUUUAUAUAUUUAUAUAUUUUAUUUUCGUAAUUAUAAAAUAUUUAUGUUCAAAAAUAAAAUCUAAUAUGUUGGUAAGAUGGGUUAACAUUAUCAAACUAUAUAAUACAUGUAUAAAAAUUAACAUGUAUUUCUUUAAAGUUAAUAAUAUAAAAUCUCUGUAACUACUUUAAUCAUAAUAUAUUUUCAUUUUAAAUAUAAUAUAUAUUUAUAUAUUAUAUUUUAAAAAUUCUAAUAAAUCUGUGUAAUAUUUAAAUAAUAACUUAAUAUAUUUUAAGUUAUCGUUUAGAAAUGAAAAUAAAUAAAUUAUAUCAUAUUUUAUCUACUUUUAUAGUCAUGAUCAUGUUAAAAUAUAAUUAUUAUACUAAAAUAAAUAUGAUAAAACUAUAUUCAAUUGAUAAAUUUAUAAAUUUUAUUUUCAUAAAUAUAAACUAUUUAUUUAAAAUAUAAUAUGAUGAUAGAACGACUUAAAAUUAACAAACUAUAUAAUACAUGUCUAAAAAUUAACAUAUCUUACACUUUUAUAUAUACAAUAAUAAAUUAUCUAAAAUGAAUAAGCAUAAAAAUAUUGGUAAAAAGAAAUCCAGUUUUGAAAUACGGGUAAGAAUUUAGCAUAAAUUAAAUACAAAAUAUUUUUUAAAUAUAUUUUCUCAUGAAUCCCCUAUAUUAAUUUGCUUAAUAACUAAAUGCAAAUACAAUAAGAUAAAAUAUAUAAUAAGAAGUGGCAAAUACAUAAGGUUUAAAAAAUUAAUUAAUUAUAACAUGUAAAUUAUAAAAUUAUUGUAUUUGAAAUAGUUAUAUAAAUAUUUAAGUAUAUGAUUAACAUUAAAAAUAUAUACCACUUAUGUUCUAAAACAAUAAUUUAUGUAUAGAAAAGUGAAAACAAACACCCGUGCGGUUGCACGGGUUAAAAUCUAGUAAUGUGUUAUUCUUUAAAAUUUCUUUGAGGGUAUCAAAGUUCAUACUACUUGUAGAAAUAACAAUUUGAAAUCUUUGGGGGAUCAAUGCAUUGUUGGCGAAUGCAAGACUAUUGAAAACUUCCAAGUUAGUGAACUUGGAAAAGAGUUACGACCAAAAUGAGAGCUAAUAAUUACCUGAUAAUAAGAGGAACCUUUGUUUGGUAUAGAUUGUAACCAUUUUCAUUUACUCCUUAAACAAACCAGAGAAUAAAGGUUCAUGGAACAAUAAUCAAACUAUAUUGAAAAUAAAUGAGAGCUAUGUACUGAAUAACAAAUGAUAUCUCAAUUAGAAAUUUUAAGAUUGGAGAUCCUUUUACCG
RNAcentral lists this long non-coding RNA (2286 nucleotides) under Brassica rapa (field mustard). RNAcentral's name for it is "long non-coding RNA (BRAP_LNC002259)". Lineage: Eukaryota; Viridiplantae; Streptophyta; Magnoliopsida; Brassicales; Brassicaceae. The record is from RNAcentral.